Molecule: ribosomal RNA, 461 nt
Filed under: uncultured bacterium
Lineage: Bacteria
Description: bacterial SSU rRNA
Rfam family: Bacterial small subunit ribosomal RNA
Source: RNAcentral
CCCAGACUCCUACGGGAGGCAGCAGUGGGGAAUAUUGCACAAUGGGGGGAACCCUGAUGCAGCGACGCCGCGUGGGUGAAGGAGCACCUCGGUGCGUAAAGCCCUAUCGGCAGGGAAGAAAAGCGAACAGGUUCGCCUGGACGGUACCUGACUAAGAAGCCCCGGCUAACUACGUGCCAGCAGCCGCGGGAAUACAUAGGGAGCAAGCGUUAUCCGGAUUUAUUGGGUGUAAAGGGUGCGUAGACGGGAAAUUAAGUUAGUUGUGAAAUCCCUCGGCUUAACUGAGGAACUGCAACUAAAACUGAUUCUCUUGAGUACUGGAGAGGAAAGUGGAAUUCCUAGUGUAGCGGUGAAAUGCGUAGAUAUUAGGAGGAACACCAGUGGCGAAGGCGACUUUCUGGACAGUAACUGACGUUGAGGCACGAAAGUGUGGGGAGCAAACAGGAUUAGAUACCCGGGUA